Molecule: ribosomal RNA, 486 nt
Filed under: uncultured bacterium
Lineage: Bacteria
Description: partial 16S ribosomal RNA
Rfam family: Bacterial small subunit ribosomal RNA
Source: RNAcentral
GACGAACGCUGGCGGCGUGCUUAACACAUGCAAGUCGAACGGGCUCUGUCUGGCUGUGUGCUGGGUGGGGUUAGUGGCGAACGGGUGAGUAAUACGUGAGUAACCUGCCCUCUUCUUUGGGUAAGGCUUUGGAAACGGGUCUAAUACCGGAUAUUCCUGGCUGGGUGGAUGGGCUGGGGGGGGAAGGUUUUUUUGGGGGGGGAUGGGCUGGGGGCCUUUUAGGUUGGUGGGUGGGUGAUGGGCCUCCAAGGCGUCGACGGGGAGCCGGGCUGGGAGGGUGGCCGGCGACACUGGGACUGGGAUACGGCCCAGACUCCUACGGGAGGCAGGAGUGGGGGAUAUGGGACAAUGGGCGCAAGCCUGAUGCAGCGACGCCGCGUGGGGGAUGACGGCUUUCGGGUUGUAAACCUCUUUCGUCGGGGGACAAGGCUCUGCUUGGUGGUGGGGUUGAGGGUACCCGGUGAAGAAGCGCCGGCUAACUACGUG